RNAcentral lists this ribosomal RNA (443 nucleotides) under uncultured bacterium. RNAcentral's name for it is "partial 16S ribosomal RNA". It matches the Rfam family "Bacterial small subunit ribosomal RNA", at positions 338 to 795 of the family's 1533-position model. The record is from RNAcentral.
CCUACGGGAUGCAGCAGUGGGGAAUAUUUGGCAAUGGGCGCAAGCCUGACCCAGCAACGCCGCGUGAAGGAAGAAGGCUUUCGGGUUGUAAACUUCUUUUAUUGAGGCCGAAACCAAUGACGGUACUCAAUGAAUAAGCCACGGCUAACUACGUGCCAGCAGCCGCGGUAAUACGUAGGUGGCAAGCGUUAUCCGGAUUUCCUGGGUGUAAAGGGCGUGUAGGCGGGACUGCAAGUCAGAUGUGAACACCAUGGUCUCGACCCAGUGCCUGCAUUUGAGACUGUAGUUCUUGAGUGAUGGAGAGGCAGGCGGAAUUCCGUGUGUAGCGGUGAGAUGCGUAGAUAUACGGAGGAACACCAGGGGCGAAGGCGGCCUGCUGGACAUUAACUGACGCUGAGGCGCGAAAGCGUGGGGAGCAAACAGGAUUAGAUACCCUAGUAGUC